RNAcentral lists this small RNA (2819 nucleotides) under Arabidopsis thaliana (thale cress). RNAcentral describes it as "ATSL101950". Lineage: Eukaryota; Viridiplantae; Streptophyta; Magnoliopsida; Brassicales; Brassicaceae. The record is from RNAcentral.
AAAAACCUUUUUUUGGAUUGUAUUUACACAAGGUACAUGCUGUAGACGUACCUCAACAGGAAGACUACCAGUUGCAGCCUUCUUGGGAGUAUUGUUCAACUUGGAAGAUCUUCUUGGAACAAAGUUUUUUUGUUUGGUGGAUUUCUUUACAGAUUUUCUCUGUACCUGUUCAGCUGCCUUCUCAACUCUUUUGUUCGCCUUCUCAACCCUUUUGUUCACCUUCUCAACAGUUUUGGUCACCCUCUCAACCUUCUCAGAUGGUGAAUCAGAUUUGUGGGAUGCUCGUGGGCCUUCUUCGUUUCGGUCCUGGGACUGUAGAGCAGCACGUAUCUCUUCACGGACAAAUACUUUUAAAUCUUCAAAUUUAUUAUCCAAAAGUUGUGUUUGCCUCUUGAAGAAACGCCUCAAUUCGCCCGCAUACUUAUCGAACGCUUCGUCUCCAACUUCACCAUCACCACCACUUGGUCCACCUUCACCAUCACCACCACUGGGUCCACCUUCACCAUCAGCACCACUGGGUCCACCUUCACCAUCACCACCACUUGGUCCACCUUCACCAUCACCACCACUGGGUCCACCUUCACCAUCAUCAGAGUGACUAAUUUUCCUUUUUUUGUUUUCAACAGGAUUUGCCACCCGUCUUUGCCUCUUCAAAAUAACUAUAUUAAACGGUUAAAUCAUGCAUUACUACUCUUAGAGGAACCUAAUUCUGAUAUAAGUUAUACGAUGAAAAGAUAUGGUUACCUCUCUCUCCAGUUGCUGAGGGCCGAACUUGCUUCUUAGGCGCAUCAUCGCCUCCAACCCACAUUUUCUCAUUCCACUCCUGCUCAGAUUUCAACAUCCUUAAAAUGUUAUCAACUCUUGGGUCCUCUUUUUCUUUCCUCCAUACAAAAGAUUUUGGGCAAUUACUGUCUGCUGGGUCCACAAUAUAUGUGAUAUCCACCUACAUAGACGAUCAUUGUUAAUUUUAGAGUGUAUGUACUUACAACAACAACUGCACAAACCUGUUCAGCAGACUCGCAUGCCAAUAUGGUGGAUGUCUUGAUUGGACGCAGUUUGGAAAGGUUUUUAAUAGUCCUCUCUGUAAAGACGGCGGUAUCUCCUUCAGAAGGUAGGAGACUAGCAAUAGACGGGAUAGUUUUGAAUGCAAGGAGUUGGAGUCCAAGUGGGAAGCCAUGGAGUACAUAAGAAUGUUGCUUGCAACCACUCCGGAGUUUUUUAACGUCGGUCUCUCCUUUGAAACUUGCGAUACGCUCCAAAGUAAGCAGAAAUGAUGUCCUUCCCCAGGGAUAUUUACAGGAGAAAUCAAGGUUCUUCGUCAGCUCAACUGUCAUCUCAUUUGGUCUCAAAGGAGGAGACUUGUCACAUAUUAGCACCCCAUCCACAAUGAUAAUUAAGGCGAGAGCUAAUUUCUUCCAUGCAGGCAUGUCAGUUUCAGAAAUCAAUCUAUCCCUUAAUUCUUCAACUGUUGGAUUAGCUUUAUCAUCUCCAAACAGAGUAGCCCAAACUGUAUUUUCACCUUCCUCCCGCUGCAUAACACUUUCUACAUCCUUAUCUUUAGGAUAGGUUCCACAUUCCAAACCAGUUAUAAGUGCCCAUUCUCUUAAUCCGAGCCUAAUAGGAUGACCAGCGAAUACCAUCCACAUCUCAUAACGUUUCUUUGUAACUAACUAACGGCAUAUUAAUCCAAGAACAAGUUUACCAGAAAAGGAUGCCUUGUUAGUAGGGAUCCUAAAGAGGUCACCAAAUGGAGAAUCUAGAAGGAACGUCAUUUCUGGUGUGUCCUUAAGCGCAGCUGCUAUUUGACCAAUGUACUCCGGUCUGGAGUACGCAUUUAUCUUUGCCUUGCUAGGGUAGUGAUCGAGUGCAAACAACCUUUGUGGUAAUUCACCCGGAUCAUUAGAAGUACUUCCUGAAAGUUGAACAAGACGAAGAAGUUCUUAACACGUACACUAUAUCCAAAUACCAACUAAACAUAAACUCGAUAUUCAUAUACACGUACACCGAAACCUUUUAUACUCAAUCAACUGUUUUUGGCGGAAAAAACCAAAAACCCCUUUGUCAAUUGAAAAUUUCUGAGUUGAAAUCUCUAAAAUUAACCUAGAUUUUGAAUCAAAUCAUUCUCCAAACGAAGUUAGGGAAAACUAACCCAGAUUUGUCGUCGCCGCCGAUGCCUCAUCAAUAUCCGAAACUCCUCGCCGCCGACUACUCUUCCUCGUCGCCGCCAUUAGAGCUCUUCUCUGAACAGUUAAUCGAUAAACCCAAAAAUCGUAUUAUUGUUCCACACUUUAACACGAACCCUAUCGAAAUUUUCUCCACUUUAGCAAUGACUCGAACUCGAACAGAGCCUCAAUCGGAAUUGUGUUUCAGUUUCGUCGGAAUUUCUCUGGUUCUUCGAAAUCAUUCUUCGUUUCGUCGGAACUGUUCUGCUUUCUCGAAGAAGACAGUUUUUUUUAUUUAUUUUAAGUUUUAAAAUUAAUAAUUUUAAAUAUUUAAAUUAUUUUGAAACCAGAAAACGGUUAAGGAAACUGAACCGGCUCCACGAAACUAAACCGCCUCCGUCAGUUUUUCGUUCCAGAGCAAAUUCGGCCAUUUUAGUUCUAAUGGCUAAAAUGUGGUUGACCCAGCCCACUUUGCCUUUUUGUGAAAGAAAAAGUCAGGUGUCCAACGUGAAAAUUACUUUAAUAUUUAUGUGGUUAAUUGGUCGAUAGUACAAAUUCGCAGAGUGGUUAAUUAAGUACAUUUAUCAUUUCAAUGGAUUGUGAGUUCGAAUAAGGAAAAAUUGCUGUCAUCUCUCAUACACUGUUAAGAUGCUUUGC